RNAcentral lists this ribosomal RNA (567 nucleotides) under Aureobasidium melanogenum. RNAcentral's name for it is "partial large subunit ribosomal RNA". It matches the Rfam family "Eukaryotic large subunit ribosomal RNA", at positions 76 to 658 of the family's 3401-position model. Lineage: Eukaryota; Fungi; Ascomycota; Dothideomycetes; Dothideales; Saccotheciaceae. The record is from RNAcentral.
UGCCCUAGUAACGGCGAGUGAAGCGGCAACAGCUCAAAUUUGAAAGCUGGCCUUCGGGUCCGCAUUGUAAUUUGUAGAGGAUGCUUUGGGUGAAACGCCAGUCUAAGUUCCUUGGAACAGGACGUCAUAGAGGGUGAGAAUCCCGUAUGUGACUGGAAAUGUUAACCUAUGUAAAGCUCCUUCGACGAGUCGAGUUGUUUGGGAAUGCAGCUCUAAAUGGGAGGUAAAUUUCUUCUAAAGCUAAAUAUUGGCGAGAGACCGAUAGCGCACAAGUAGAGUGAUCGAAAGAUGAAAAGCACUUUGGAAAGAGAGUUAAAAAGCACGUGAAAUUGUUGAAAGGGAAGCGCUUGCAAUCAGACUUGUUUAAACUGUUCGGCCGGUCUUCUGACCGGUUUACUCAGUUUGGACAGGCCAGCAUCAGUUUCGGCGGCCGGAUAAAGGCUCUGGGAAUGUGGCCUUCACUUCGGUGAAGGUGUUAUAGCCCAGGGUGUAAUACGGCCAGCCGGGACUGAGGUCCGCGCUUCGGCUAGGAUGCUGGCGUAAUGGUUGUAAGCGACCCGUCUUGAA